UGACACUAUUAAAGGUUGAUUGAGGAAUGCUGGAGUGAAAAUCCUGCAGACAGGCCUGAUUUUAGUGAAAUCAUCGAUCGGUUGUCUUCUAUCCAAAAUGAAAUAGCUCAAAGGAACCGGUGGAAGGUGAGACCUCUUAGAUGUUUCCUGAGCUUCGUGGGAAUGUGGAAGAAAGAUCGCAAUGAAGGCAGCACCACCCGUUCAUCACGUUUGUCACGAUCCAACUUUUAAGCACCUGUCCGAGCUGUUGAUUUCGUUCGGAGGAUCAUAUUCAUGAUUGCUAGAAAAUCAACUUGUAUAUCGUAUCUUUGUGUUCUAAACUUCUGAAAAGGAAUGGUUUUGCGGCUGGUUGAUUUUCUUCUGGUGGUCAUAGCUAUUGUACAUCUGACAUUUA
This is a long non-coding RNA of Phragmites australis (common reed), 394 nucleotides long. RefSeq lists it as uncharacterized. The transcript is spliced from 2 exons. The record is from RefSeq and is a predicted model, not a curated record. NCBI's taxonomy places the organism in Eukaryota, Viridiplantae, Streptophyta, Magnoliopsida, Poales, Poaceae.